UUACAGCCAUAUCACAUUCAAAACACCGGUUCCCGUACGAUCAUCGAAGUUAAGCAACGUCGAUCUUGUUCAAUACCUAGAUGAGUGACCGUUUCGAAAUCCCAGGCGCUGUAAG
This is a non-coding RNA of Acanthosepion pharaonis, 115 nucleotides long. The record is from the annotation of a GenBank genome assembly. Lineage: Eukaryota; Metazoa; Mollusca; Cephalopoda; Sepiida; Sepiidae.